Molecule: ribosomal RNA, 521 nt
Filed under: Abralia veranyi
Lineage: Eukaryota; Metazoa; Mollusca; Cephalopoda; Oegopsida; Enoploteuthidae
Description: partial 16S ribosomal RNA
Rfam family: Bacterial large subunit ribosomal RNA
Source: RNAcentral
GUCUCUUUGAUUUUCUUAUAUAAAGAGUCGGGCCUGCUCGGUGAACAAUUGUUUUAACAGCUGCGGUAUUUUAACUGUACUAAGGUAGCAUAAUAAUUUGCCUUAUAAUUUGAGGCUAGAAUGAAUGGUUUGACGAAGGUUAGACUGUCUCUACUUUAAUUUUUAGAAUUUAAUUUAUAUAGUGAAAAAGCUUGUAUUUUUUAAAGGGACGAGAAGACCCUAAUGAGCUUUAAUUUUAUUAAUUAUUUAUAAUGUUUAUUUCUAAAUAAUUAUAUAAAUUUUAAUUGGGGUGAUUAAGGAAUAAAAAGUAAAUAUAGUUUAGUAACUUCCUUAUUUAUUAGUAUUGUUAAAUAAAUUAACCAACAAUGUUGCUUAUAGUAGAGUUACCAUAGGGAUAACAGCGUAAUUUAUUUUGAGAGUUCUUAUUGAAAAAUAAGAUUGCGACCUCGAUGUUGGAUUAAAGUAACCUUAGGGUGCAGAAGCUCUAAAAGGUAAAUCUGUUCGAUUUUUAAAACUUUACA